Long non-coding RNA from Ruditapes philippinarum (Manila clam), 199 nucleotides. RefSeq lists it as uncharacterized. Lineage: Eukaryota; Metazoa; Mollusca; Bivalvia; Venerida; Veneridae. The transcript has 2 exons. The record is from RefSeq and is a predicted model, not a curated record.
AAUUGUGUCCAUAGGACACGAGUGCCCCCACCGCGCCACUGUUCUGUCAAUCUUAUGACUCUAGGUCAAAUAUUUUUUGAAAACUAAAAAUCUUUUACUAAGUAAAGGGCAAGAACUUUACAAAUACUGAAUAAAUCCACAAGCAAACCCCAAGUUGAAAAUUGCAAAUUUAUACUACUGUAAGUCAAGGGCAAUAACU